RNAcentral lists this ribosomal RNA (253 nucleotides) under uncultured bacterium. Its description in RNAcentral is "partial 16S ribosomal RNA". It matches the Rfam family "Bacterial small subunit ribosomal RNA", at positions 524 to 776 of the family's 1533-position model. The record is from RNAcentral.
GACAGAGGGGGCAAGCGUUGCUCGGAAUUACUGGGCGUAAAGCGUGCGUAGACGGUUAUUUAAGUCGGGUGUGAAAGCCCCGGGCUCAACCUGGGAAUUGCAUUCGAUACUGAGAGUCUUGAGUCCGGGAGAGGUGAGUGGAACUGCGAGUGUAGAGGUGAAAUUCGUAGAUAUUCGCAAGAACACCAGUGGCGAAGGCGGCUCACUGGCCCGGUACUGACGCUGAGGUGCGAAAGCGUGGGGAGCAAACAGG